CAAAUUUGGUUUCUGUGCUCUGCGAAAGCCAGUUACCUCGGUUCAAAGAGUUGGUAGCUCAGCGAACCUUGAGAAAACCACCGCUGGUAGCGGUGGGUUUUUCUUU
This 106-nucleotide non-coding RNA is filed under the name Escherichia coli MS 146-1. Lineage: Bacteria; Pseudomonadati; Pseudomonadota; Gammaproteobacteria; Enterobacterales; Enterobacteriaceae. The record is from RNAcentral.